Eublepharis macularius is the source of this 1602-nucleotide non-coding RNA. The record is from the annotation of a RefSeq genome assembly. NCBI's taxonomy places the organism in Eukaryota, Metazoa, Chordata, Lepidosauria, Squamata, Eublepharidae.
AUGGGGCUUGAUGUUGGACAAUAUCCAAUCUCGCUACGAGCUGUAAACCGGGGGUGGGGGAUGGUACGAUACACAACAGCCACAGCCCCAGCUGUGUUCCCAUUGUCACCAUGCUGCGAAGACACUUCCUCUGCCUCCCAGGUCACCAUGGGCUGCUUGAUCUCCGGUUACUUCCCUGAGCCAGCCACAGUGCAGUGGAAUUCAGGAGCUAUCUCCUCCGGCAUCCAGAACUUCCCUUCAUUAUUGCAGUCAUCCAGUGGCCACUACAUUUUCAGUAGCCAGCUCACCGUCCCAGGCUCCAGCUGGCAAUCCCAGAAUUUCGAAUGCAAUGUUGAACACGCGUCUACCAACACCACAAUCAGCAAAGAGAUCGAAGCCUGCCUUAUGCAUGAGCCAGUGACCCCGGAAGUCCUCCUCCUCCAUUCCUCCUGCAACCGCAAUACGGACAAUGCCACCAUUCAGCUUGUGUGCCUUAUCUCGGGCUUCUACCCUCGCACAGUCAAAGUGAAUUGGCUGGUAAACAGGCAAUUGGCAAUUUUGCCAGCACACACCGAGAACCCAAGGAAAGAUGCCACCGGAGACACCUUCAGCACUACCAGCACAGCCAAUGUUACCCAAAUUGAUUGGAAAGAGGGGAAGACAUACACCUGCCAGGUGAUCCACCAAGGUCACAAAGUGGAAAAACAUGCCACAAAAUGCAGAGGGGACAGUGGCAAUUGUACAGCCAAUGGCAUUAAGGUCUCCAUCUUACCCCCAACUCCGGCUGACCUAUACAUGAAUGGAGAACCCAGGCUUAUCUGCGUGGUGACUGGUCUUGAAAGUAAUGUGGGCAUGAAAGUGCGCUGGUCCAAGGAGAAACCAGGGACCCUGAACCCUGAACCACUGGAGCCCGCACAAGACUCAGAUGGAACCUUCACCCUUAAGAGCCCCCUGAUCAUCUCCAAGCAAGACUGGCUGGCAGGUGACAUUUACACUUGCACACUUGAACAUUCAAGCGGCAUUGCUCCCUACUCUAAGACAAUUGCUAAGAAAACAGGCAAACGGACCCAAGCCCAAGUGUAUCUCUUCCGUCCCCACAACGAAGAGUUGAAAUCUCGCGAUCCAAAUGUAUCCAUUACCUGCCUGGUUAAAGGGUUCAAUCCUGAGGACAUCUCCAUCAAAUGGCUUGAGAAUCACAAUGCCAUGACUGGAAACUACUAUGUUACCACCCCGGUCCAGAUGGACAGCAGUCAUGAUUCCUAUUUUGUCUACAGCAAGCUGACAGUCACCAAGACUAACUGGAACAAUGGCCAUAUUUACACCUGCCACGUAGUCCACGAAGGAUUCAGCAUGAAGUAUACCCAGAGGAGCGUUGAGAAAACUCAGGAAGCUAAGCAGGAAUUCUUUGUUUCAACUGAUGAUGAUUACAGUGAUGAAAAAGAGGAAGAACUGGACAGCCUGUGGACCACCAUCUUGAUUUUCUUCCUCCUCUUCCUCCUCAGCAUCUGCUAUAGCGCCACCGUGACACUGUUCAAAGUCAAAUGGCUUGUCUCCGCUGUGAUGCAUUUGAAGAACAAACCAGCUGGUCCCGAAUACAGGAAUGUAAUCCAGGGGAUACUAUAG